This 492-nucleotide ribosomal RNA is filed under the name uncultured bacterium. RNAcentral describes it as "partial 16S ribosomal RNA". The stretch from base 51 to 492 matches the Rfam family "Bacterial small subunit ribosomal RNA", at positions 38 to 507 of the family's 1533-position model. The record is from RNAcentral.
GGGGGGGGGGGGGGGGGGGGGGGGGGGGGGGGGGGCGGGGGGGGGGGCGGGGAGGGGGGGCGCUUGCGGGGGGCGGGUGGGGGGCGGGGGAGGGGUAGAGCGGAAGCUCCUUUUUCGUGGGGGAUAACGUAGGGAAACUUACGCUGAUACCGCAUACGACCUACGGGUGAAAGCAGGGGAUCUUCGGACCUUGCGCGAUUGAAUGAGCCGAUGUCGGAUUCGCUAGUUGGCGGGGUAAAGGCCCACCAAGGCGACGACCCGUAGCUGGUCUGGGAGGAUGAUCAGCCACACUGGAACUUAGACACGGGCCAGACUCCUACGGGAGGCAGCAGUGGGGAAUAUUGGACAAUGGGCGCAAGCCUGAUCCAGCCAUACCGCGUGGGUGAAGAAGGCCUUCGGGUUGUAAAGCCCUUUUGUUGGGAAAGAAAAGCAGCAGGUUAAUACCCCGCUGUUCUGACGGUACCCAAAGAAUAAGCACCGGCUAACUUCGUG